CCUACGGGUGGCAGCAGUGGGGAAUAUUGGACAAUGGGGGGAACCCUGAUCCAGCCAUGCCGCGUGUGUGAAGAAGGCCCUCGGGUUGUAAAGCACUUUCAGUGAGGAAGAACGCCUGGUGGUUAAUACCCAUCAGGAAAGACAUCACUCACAGAAGAAGCACCGGCUAACUACGUGCCAGCAGCCGCGGUAAUACGGAGGGUGCGAGCGUUAAUCGGAAUUACUGGGCGUAAAGCGCGCGUAGGUGGCUUGAUAAGCCGGUUGUGAAAGCCCCGGGCUCAACCUGGGAACGGCAUCCGGAACUGUCAAGCUAGAGUGCAGGAGAGGAAGGUAGAAUUCCCGGUGUAGCGGUGAAAUGCGUAGAGAUCGGGAGGAAUACCAGUGGCGAAGGCGGCCUUCUGGACUGACACUGACACUGAGGUGCGAAAGCGUGGGUAGCAAACAGGAUUAGAUACCCCGGUAGUC
RNAcentral lists this ribosomal RNA (465 nucleotides) under Vreelandella stevensii. RNAcentral's name for it is "partial 16S ribosomal RNA". It matches the Rfam family "Bacterial small subunit ribosomal RNA", at positions 338 to 795 of the family's 1533-position model. The record is from RNAcentral. Lineage: Bacteria; Pseudomonadati; Pseudomonadota; Gammaproteobacteria; Oceanospirillales; Halomonadaceae.